GCCCUGCUGUUCCUGGUCUCCUAAUUAGAGCGAGACGUGGUCAUGUGCAUCCCCUGCAGCUUUUCCGGACUGUUUUUCACCCAGCUGAGCAGAGGCAGGGCUGUUAGUCCUCGUCACGGUAGAUGAUCAUGGGUCACGCGUGGUCAGAUGUUUGUUCUGGGAAGUUGGGUCUUCAGAGUAUGAGACUGUCACCUCUCCCCCUUUUCCAUGUUCUGGAGGCUUCUAACCCGCAAGACUUAAGGAGGCCCCAGCGCCCUGGAGGGCUGCUUCUCCCACCCCAGGCAUGUGCCUUCCUGGACUCAACCUGGUUGUAGGUGUGCAGUCCUCUCUCCUCUUUUGAAAGCCUGACUUUGCUCACACGGGUGGGUCUCGCGACAACCUUCUCUGUGAGACACUCUGCAGGUAACCCAGGUCUGUCUCCGUGGGGGGCUGUGGGCUGCUGCAGCAGAAAGACCAAUGUCCAGACUCUAAAGCACGGACGUUGGUGCUCAUUCACUGAGCAGGUUGGCAGGUGGCUGCCUCCAUUGGGAGGCCCCUCCUGGGGGUGCGUUCUCUGUGUCCUUCGCCCCUUCUGUCCCUGGAUCCAGUUGCAGGUUGGUAAGAAGCGUGGGGAAGGUACAGCCACUUCCCAAAUCCUGGACCAGGUGCUGGCCGGCCUCGCUGGCCCACGUCUCUGGGGAACUCAUCCCAGACUUGGCCAUCUCCCCAGAUGUCUGGCCAUUUCCAAGCUGGUUGUGCGUCAGAAUCACCAAGGUUCUCUGGAGACACGGACGCCUGGCCCCAGGCCCCACAGUGCUGCUUCACAGGCCCCAGGAUCUACGAGGGCCCCAGGGCAGAGUGGAGAGGACAUACCUGGCUUGGGAGACAGGAGCUGGGAGAUGUGAUGUCCCCGUCGGGAGGCACAAGCUGCUAAUUGCUUUGUUUUGCGUUACCAACAUCUGCGGGGAGACAGCAGAUGCCGCCACUUGCCCAGCCUGCUGUCCCCAGAGGUGACCACUCUGUGGCGUCCAGGGCUCUUGGCACAGAACCUGUCAGACCACAGCCAAGCACCCUGUCCGGCUGCCCCCAUGUCCUUGCUGCUAAGACAGUCGCGCCCACACGCUGCCCUGAGAAUGGGCACUGUGGUGACUGCCACUCCUUCCUGCAGCAGCACCAGGAGCAUACUUCUCUCUCCUUCUCGAAGAUUCCAGGCGGAACCUCUCAGCUCGGCGCCACAAAGUGAACGGCUCCACCAAGGUUUCUCUCUCUAAUUUUAAGGGCACCUUUCCCCCCAGGCUGCAGCUCUGGGCUCUCAGAGG
This 1298-nucleotide long non-coding RNA is filed under the name Bos grunniens (domestic yak). RNAcentral describes it as "lncRNA (ENSBGRG00000007970.1)". The record is from RNAcentral. Lineage: Eukaryota; Metazoa; Chordata; Mammalia; Artiodactyla; Bovidae.